GUUUUAAUAAUUUAAUAAAAUACUGGUCUUGUAAACCAGAAAUAAGAUUAACCUCUUUUAAAACU
RNAcentral lists this transfer RNA (65 nucleotides) under Trigonopterus carinirostris. RNAcentral's name for it is "tRNA-Thr". It matches the Rfam family "tRNA". Rfam says of the family: Transfer RNA (tRNA) molecules are approximately 80 nucleotides in length. Their secondary structure includes four short double-helical elements and three loops (D, anti-codon, and T loops). The record is from RNAcentral. Lineage: Eukaryota; Metazoa; Arthropoda; Insecta; Coleoptera; Curculionidae.